Long non-coding RNA from Bos taurus (domestic cattle), 3927 nucleotides. The record is from Ensembl. NCBI's taxonomy places the organism in Eukaryota, Metazoa, Chordata, Mammalia, Artiodactyla, Bovidae.
GAGGAAGGGAGUGGGUUGGAAGGUGGGAACUGGGAGCAGAGGGACCAGUCAGCAAAGCCUGGAUCUGUGCUUGGAGCUACCUAGCAGGAAUUAAAGAGGCUGCCACAAACUCAAGACCAGGUGACAGUCACAGGUAAGAGCACAUGAACGUCGGUGGGAAAUGUUGACCGGGCGAUGUGAGCUUAGAAGGUUGAGGAGAAAGUCAGGCUUCCUCCUGGACACGCAGGAUCCAGGACCUUGUGAAGGACUGCCUGCUCUGCAUGUAGCUGACUUUUGAGAACUCUGUUAUUGGCAUGUUAGCUUGUCAUUCCCCUUCUAAAAGUGAUCUGGCAGGAGUGGAAGACCAGGGGGAGGCAGAAGUCCAGCUGAGUGUGCUGGGCAGUUAGGUACCCAUUAAUAAAGGGCUAGUGAUAAGUGGAUGUUAUUUAAGAACGCAUGACUAAUGUCUAGCUGUCAUUCCCUUGCCAUGCUCCAUGAGAUGCCCCUGCUGUGCCCAGAAUGGCUCAUACAGAAUUUUUUGACAGGUGCUCUAUUUUGUAAAGAAUGAACACCUGACUCGGCCUUUACAGACAUGAACAAAGAAAAAUGCAAGCACCAUUUAUAAGGCCAUGCACCAUGAGAGGUGACUUGUAAGUCACCCCUCCUACACACACACAACUCAGCCCUUUGCUGACAGCUCAAGCCAUCUCCCGAUGCCCACCACACCUGUCUAGGAUGGCUUUUCCAGAAGCUUCCCCAUCCUGUUGAUUUCACUUAACCCCCACCAUAAGCAGUCUUUCAUCAAUGUCUCGGUCAUCCUCUUCUGCGGGUGCCAUUUGUUCCCCCAAGAACACUUGAUCUGUACAACCAGCUCUGUGACGCUGGGCAGUUAGUUAAGCUCUUUCUUUCACAUCUUCAGGUGGAGAGUUGUAAAGGGCUCGUCUGAACCAUAUCAAAAUGACAGUACAUGACCAGCUCUGACCUAAAAAAUGGCAAUGUCAUUUGCUGCGAGAAUGACUUGAAUAUAAAACAAUUCAAAUAGUGCCCAACAAGCUGUAAGCAUUCCUUUCUAGUUAUGAUGCUCGUGGAUACGUCCUAAGUCGCUUCAGUCGUGUCCGACUCUUUGCACCGCUAUGGGCUGUAGCCUGCCAGGCUCCUCUGGCCAUGGGAUUCUCCAGGCAAAAAUACUGGCCUGAGUUGCCACGCCCUCCUCCAGGGGAUCUUCCUGACCCAGGGAUUGAACCUACGUCUUCUGCAUUGGCAGAAGGGUUCUUUAUCACUAGUGCCACUUGGCAAGUGCCUGUGAUGCUCAGAUGCUAUAAAUGAUCUCUCUGCCCCACAACAGCACGUCUGUGCUGUCUCCUCCUCCCCCAUCGCAGGUAGACACCGCUCAAGUAGUGUAGGGCUUCCUCACCCAGCCCAGAGGCAAAGUUAGACCUUAGGAAGGAAAGGGGCUGCUUUUCAAUGCCAUGGCCCUGUUCUUCUAGACUCACCCACCAGGGAUUUCCACACCCACCACCUGCUCCUCUAGCGCAAGGGGUGCCUGGCAUCUUGCCACAGAAUGUUUUCAUAGAAAUGCCCUGCCUAACAGGAGGGUUCCAUCACUGUUAAUGAAACUGAGGAUGAGUGUGGGUUAAAUCUAUUUCACCUGUAACCUCACUAAUUGUGGCUGGACAAGGUUCGCAUGUCCUCCAGCUGCACAGAGCCUGAACAAUGAGAUGCUUGACCCAGCUCUCUUCCAGAGUCUUAGACCAGCUGUGUCUAGCUGGAGCUGAACUGGUUGAGACUGGAUAGGACCACUGACCCUCCAUCUGGGCACGUGCGAGUGUCCCGCAGCUUGGUGACCUUUUGACUUCAAAGGGUGGAAAACUUCACCGUAAGACUGCGCCAAGUACCUCCCUUCUUAAGGUGCACAGGCCUGUGGCUGAGCUGCGCCUGCGCAGAAUGAGGAGGCCCCCCCACCUGCUUCCCAUUACCUUUCCCGCAAUCCCUGUGCUCCCUGAACCUGUGAGGCCAGCUCAUCCAGGAACACCCUAGCCCCUUUCUUCUGGGAGCUGCACCUGAGACUUUGUUCUCUUUCUGCAUUAAGCUGCCUUGUCCACAAGUCCCAUCUCAGAGCAUGGGGGCUCAGUGUUCAGCCUGCUGGGUGUCGGACAAAAACAAACUUUGUUCCUUAACGUUAAUCCUUGACUCACCUGCAGUUGCCCUGGUUUUUCCAAUAGUCAUGUAUGGAUGGACAUAAGAGUUGGACCAUUAAAGAAGGCUGAGCACCAAAGAAUUGAUGCUUUCAAACUGUGGUACUGGAGAAGUGUCUCCCUUGGACAGCAAAGAGAUCAAACCAGUCAAUCCUAAAGGAAAUCAACCCCAAAUAUUCAUUGGAGGGACUGAUCCUGAAGCUGAAGCUCCAAUACUUUGGCCACCUGAUGCAAAGAGCAGACUCAUUGGAAAAGAUCCUGAUGCUGGGAAAAGAUUGAAGGCAAAAGGAGAAGGGAGUGACAGAGGAUGAGAUGGUUAGAUAGCAUCACCAACUCAGUGAACAUGAAUUUGAGCAAACUCCGGGAGAUAAUGAAGGACAGAUCAGCCUGGUGUGGUGCAGUCCACAGGGUGGCAAAGAGUCAGACUCGACUUAGCAACUGAACAACAAGGUCAGCAGGUAAAGAAUUCGCCGGCAACGCAGGAGACACAAAAAGACGUGGUUUCAAUCCCUGGGUCAGGAAGAUCCCCUGGAGAAGGAAAUGGCAACCCACUCUAGUAUUCUUGCCUGAAAAAUUUCAUGGACAGAGGAGCCUGGCAAACUACAGUCCGUGGGGUCUCAGAGUUGGACGCGACUGAGCAACUGAACACAAUGAUUGUAAUAUGAUGCAUCAGUCAUUUGAAAAAUGUUGGCUCACUGGAUUGAUUACACAGAUCUUUUAAGCACUGACAUAUUUCAUCAUAUAAUCCCCGAAAAACCUCCUUCAUUCAUACAACCACUAAUGUCACAAUACUUAAAAAUCUUGGAGGGUUAGAAAACUGAAAAGCUUACAGUGGGAAAGACACGUUUUCCAUUAUUCUAAUUUUCACUUGAAAAGUUGACUUUUGUUAUUGGCAGAAAUAAUUUCAGUUGAAGUAUUUUUCCUUGAAGUGGAAACCUCUUUUGGUCUUUGAGAAAAUAUCUGCGAAAUCCAUAAGCCUGAUUAGCUAUGGUUAGUCUCUCAGUCACAUCCCAUAAAAUAAACUGUUAGUUGGGCUUGUAACCCACAGAAUUUUUUUUUUUUUGGACUGUGUCACAUGCAGGAUUUUAGUUUCCCAGUAAGAGAUCAAAGCUGGCCCCUUGCAGUGGAAAUGUGAAGUCUUAACCACUGGACCACCAGGGAAGCCCCCAUGUUUGCAGCUCAAACAGCCACCAGGCAACCAUUGUGCCCCAGUAGCCACUGAAGUGCUUUUCACCUACUUCCAGUGUCACCAUCAAAACAUUGAAAGACAUGUUAAGGGUCAAGAUUCAACAAAAGUAGUGGGUUUUAUGGCUUCCUCAAGGGCAUUUUUAGUGAAAAUAGCAUUUUUAAAUUUUAGGGGUUUUUUGGUUUUGUUUUUUGCUGCACGUGCCCUCUAUUGAACACAAUGGCUGAUAGAAUAGAUUUGACCCACUGGAUUUAUACUAAAGGGCCAGCUGUUCUACUCACUAAGGCUUUUUUGCACCUUCAGAGCAAAUGUCAGCACUGAAAAUGGAAAAUAACAUCUCAGUGUUAUUAGGAAAAUAGUUUGAGCUGAAAUUUCUUGGGGACCACCAGGAGUUUGCAGGCCACACUUUGAGUCACUGUCCUAAACAGUUACAGAGUCAUAGGUCACUGGAUAUGUGAGGAACCCCAAAUAGAAUCACAGCUUUAGAAGAGAUUUUAGAAGAGAUCAUUCAGCAAAAUGAUCUCCAUGUUGUCCCACAUUUUCAAAUAGUAUGGUGUUCUCCAAACU